CAGAAGUCUGACGGAGCACGCCGCGUGAGUGAUGAAGGCUUUCGGGUCGUAAAACUCUGUUGUUAGGGAAGAACAAGUGCUAGUUGAAUAAGCUGGCACCUUGACGGUACCUAACCAGAAAGCCACGGCUAACUACGUGCCAGCAGCCGCGGUAAUACGUAGGUGGCAAGCGUUAUCCGGAAUUAUUGGGCGUAAAGCGCGCGCAGGUGGUUUCUUAAGUCUGAUGUGAAAGCCCACGGCUCAACCGUGGAGGGUCAUUGGAAACUGGGAGACUUGAGUGCAGAAGAGGAAAGUGGAAUUCCAUGUGUAGCGGUGAAAUGCGUAGAGAUAUGGAGGAACACCAGUGGCGAAGGCGACUUUCUGGUCUGUAACUGACACUGAGGCGCGAAAGCGUGGGGAGCAAACAGGAUUAGAUACCCUGGUAGUCCCCGCUGUUAUCCAUCAGCGCCCACUGCUUCAUGGUUUU
This 466-nucleotide ribosomal RNA is filed under the name Bacillus cereus. RNAcentral describes it as "bacterial SSU rRNA". It matches the Rfam family "Bacterial small subunit ribosomal RNA", at positions 376 to 834 of the family's 1533-position model. Lineage: Bacteria; Bacillati; Bacillota; Bacilli; Caryophanales; Bacillaceae. The record is from RNAcentral.